GAUGAACGCUGGCGGCGUGCCUAAUACAUGCAAGUCGAGCGAACGGGCGAGAAGCUUGCUUCUCUGAUGUUAGCGGCGGACGGGGGAGUAACACGUGGAUAACCUACCUAUAAGACUGGGAUAACUUCGGGAAACCGUAGCUAAUACCGGAUAAUAUUUUGAACCGCAUGGUUCAAAAGUGAAAGACGGUCUUGCUGUCACUUAUAGAUGGAUCCGCGCUGCAUUAGCUAGUUGGUAAGGUAACGGCUUACCAAGGCAACGAUGCAUAGCCGACCUGAGAGGGUGAUCGGCCACACUGGAACUGAGACACGGUCCAGACUCCUACGGGAGGCAGCAGUAGGGAAUCUUCCGCAAUGGGCGAAAGCCUGACGGAGCAACGCCGCGUGAGUGAUGAAGGUCUUCGGAUCGUAAAACUCUGUUAUUAGGGAAGAACAUAUGUGUAAGUAACUGUGCACAUCUUGACGGUACCUAAUCAGAAAGCCACGGCUAACUACGUG
This 497-nucleotide ribosomal RNA is filed under the name uncultured bacterium. RNAcentral describes it as "partial 16S ribosomal RNA". It matches the Rfam family "Bacterial small subunit ribosomal RNA", at positions 28 to 507 of the family's 1533-position model. The record is from RNAcentral.